RNAcentral lists this ribosomal RNA (253 nucleotides) under uncultured bacterium. Its description in RNAcentral is "partial 16S ribosomal RNA". It matches the Rfam family "Bacterial small subunit ribosomal RNA", at positions 524 to 776 of the family's 1533-position model. The record is from RNAcentral.
UACGGGGGGGGUAAGCGUUGUUCGGAAUUACUGGGCGUAAAGGGCUCGUAGGCGGCCAACUAAGUCAUACGUGAAAUCCCUCAGCUUAACUGGGGAACUGCGUGUGAUACUGGAUGGCUUGGAUUUGGGAGAGGGAUGCGGAAUUCCAGGUGUAGCGGUGAAAUGCGUAGAUAUCUGGAGGAACACCGGUGGCGAAGGCGGCAUCCUGGACCAAUAUUGACGCUGAGGAGCGAAAUCCAGGGGAGCAAACUGG